CAGUCGAACGGUAACAGGUCUUCGGAUGCUGACGAGUGGCGAACGGGUGAGUAAUACAUCGGAACGCGCCCGAUCGUGGGGGAUAACGGAGCGAAAGCUUUGCUAAUACCGCAUACAAUCUACGGAUGAAAGCAGGGGACCGCAGGGCCUUGCGCGGACGGAGCGGCCGAUGGCAGAUUAUGUAGUUGGUGGGAUAAAAGCUUACCAAGCCGACGAUCUGUAGCUGGUCUGAGAGGACGACCAGCCACACUGGGACUGAGACACGGCCCAAACUCCUACGGGAGGCAGCAAUGGGGAAUUUUGGACAAUGGGCGAAAGCCUGAUCCAGCCAUGCCGCGUGCAGGAUGAAGGCCUUCGGGUUGUAAACUACUUUUGUACGGAACGAAAAGGUCCUUUCUAAUAAAGAGGGCUCAUGACGGUACCGUAAGAAUAAUCACCGGCUAACUACGUGCCAGCAGCCGCGGUAAUACGUAGGGUGCGAGCGUUAAUCGGAAUUACUGGGCGUAAAGCGUGCGCAGGCGGUUAUAUAAUACAGAUGUGAAAUCCCCGGGCUCACCCUGGGAACUGCAUUAGUGACUGUAUAGCUGGAGUGCGGCAGAGGGGGAUGGAAUUCCGCGUGUAGCAGUGAAAUGCGUAGAUAUGCGGAGGAACACCGAUGGCGAAGGCAAUCCCCUGGGCCUGCACUGACGCUCAUGCA
RNAcentral lists this ribosomal RNA (697 nucleotides) under uncultured bacterium. Its description in RNAcentral is "bacterial SSU rRNA". It matches the Rfam family "Bacterial small subunit ribosomal RNA", at positions 59 to 753 of the family's 1533-position model. The record is from RNAcentral.